This 1238-nucleotide long non-coding RNA is filed under the name Callithrix jacchus (white-tufted-ear marmoset). RNAcentral describes it as "lncRNA (ENSCJAG00000071276.1)". The record is from RNAcentral. Lineage: Eukaryota; Metazoa; Chordata; Mammalia; Primates; Cebidae.
AUGCUACCAGAGACUGGGCGGGGCCUGUGGCUACAAGAAAGAGAACGGUGGUGGCAGCACAGUGGGGUAUGUGCAACUACUCAGGGCAGUGUGACAUUCACCAGGGCCCCAGAAUCAGGGAAGCCAUCAGAAGGGAAACUUAAGAGUGGCCUUGUUCCUGAGACACAUGGGAAAUACCUCCUGGGGACUCCCAGAACCAAUCAAGAGGGAAUUUGCAGGAGACCAAGCAGGUGGAAACCAGAAUCAGGUAAAAAGAAGCCGCACACUGAAGCUGCAAGAGCGUUUCAGAAGCUAGAAGAGAUGCGAACAACACGAUUUCAUGCCAGAGAAAAGGCUCAACACCUCAUGGAAGCUGCCAAGACUACCAUCUAAAGCUAUGGCUCUACAUUGACCCCUUUCAGCCAUAGCUGGAGUAGCUGGGACAUGGGGCACCAAGUCCCUAGGGUGCACACAGACCAGAGACCCUGGGCCCAGCACAAGAAACCACUUUUCCUCCUAGGCUUCCAGGCCUGUAAUAAGAGGAGCUGCAGUGAAGACCUCUGACAUGCCCUGGAGACAUAUUCCCCAUGGUCUUGGGGAUUAACAUUUAGCUCCACUUUACUUAUGGAACUUUCUGCAGCCAGCUUGAAUUUCUUCUCAGAGAAUGGGAUUUUCCUUUCUAUCACAUUAUCAGGCUGCAAAUUUUUCAAACUUUUAUGCCUUGUUUUCCUUUUAAAACUGAAUGCUUAUAACAGCACCCAAGUCACCUCUUGAAUGCUUCACUGCUUUGAAAUUUCUGCCACCAGAUACUCUAAAUCAUCUCCCUCAAGUUCAAAGUUCCACAAAUCUCUGGGGCAGGGGCAAAAUGCCACCAGUCUCUUUGCUGAAAACAUAACAAGAGUCACCUUUGUUCCAGUUCCCAGCAAGUUCCUCAUCUCCAUCUGAGGCCACCUCAGCCUGGACCUUAUUGUCUGUAUUGCUAUCAGCAUUUUGGGCAAAGCCAUUCAACAAGUCUUUAGGAAGUUCGAAACUUUUUCACAUUUUCCUGUCUUUUCCUGAGCACGCCAAACUGUUCCAACCUCUGACUGUUACCCAGGUCUGAAGUCACUUCCACAUUUUUGAAUAUCUUUUCAGCAAUGACCCACUCUACUGGUACCAAUCUACUGUAUUAGUCAAUUUUUAUGCCGCUAAUAAAGACAUAUCUUAGAUUGGGCAAUUUACAAAAGAAAGAGGUUUAAUUGGACUUACAGCUCCACGUG